UACGGAGGGAGCUAGCGUUGUUCGGAAUUACUGGGCGUAAAGCGCAAGUAGGCGGACUAUUAAGUCAGGGGUGAAAUCCCGGGGCUCAACCCCGGAACUGCCUUUGAUACUGGUAGUCUCGAGUCCGGAAGAGGUGAGUGGAAUUCCGAGUGUAGAGGUGAAAUUCGUAGAUAUUCGGAGGAACACCAGUGGCGAAGGCGGCUCACUGGUCCGGUACUGACGCUGAGGUGCGAAAGCGUGGGGAGCAAACAGG
This 253-nucleotide ribosomal RNA is filed under the name uncultured bacterium. Its description in RNAcentral is "partial 16S ribosomal RNA". It matches the Rfam family "Bacterial small subunit ribosomal RNA", at positions 524 to 776 of the family's 1533-position model. The record is from RNAcentral.